GGCUGAAGACUUUGCCGGAUUAGCUGAGAGGUGGUGCAUGGCCGUCGUCAGUUCGUACUGUGAAGCAUCCUGUUAAGUCAGGCAACGAGCCGAGACCCACGCCCACAGUUGCCAGCGUACUCUCUGGAGUGACGGGUACACUGGUGGGGACCGCCGCUGCUAAAGCGGAGGAAGGAAUGGGCAACGGUAGGUCAGUAUGCCCCGAAUAUCCCGGGCUACACGCGAGCUACAAUGGUUGGUACAAUGGGUAUCUACCCCGAAAGGGGACGGGAAUCUCCUAAAACCAAUCUUAGUUCGGAUUGAGGGCUGCAACUCGCCCUCAUGAAGCUGGAAUCCGUAGUAAUCGCGUUUCAACAGAACGCGGUGAAUACGUCCCUGCUCCUU
This 384-nucleotide ribosomal RNA is filed under the name uncultured Methanosaeta sp. Its description in RNAcentral is "bacterial SSU rRNA". It matches the Rfam family "Archaeal small subunit ribosomal RNA", at positions 957 to 1338 of the family's 1478-position model. The record is from RNAcentral. Lineage: Archaea; Methanobacteriati; Methanobacteriota; Methanomicrobia; Methanotrichales; Methanotrichaceae.